CACCUCUACAUUGACCACUACCUCCCCCCAGAUUCCAGUGGAGAUAGCUCAAGACCUUGAUUUUUUAAAAAAAUAUUUAAAGGAGAAAAAAAGUUCUAUUUUCUUCUCAAUUUUUUUUAUUAUAACUUUUUAUUGACAGAACCUAUGCCAGGGUAAUUUUUUACAACAUUAUCCUUUGCACUCACUUCUAUUCUGACUUUUCCCUUCCUUCCCUCUACCUCCUGCCCUAGAUGACAGGCAUUCUUAUACAUGUUAAAUAUGUUAUAGUAUAUACAAUAUGUGUGUGCAGAACCGUACAGUUCUCUUGUUGCACAAGAAGAAUUGGAUUCAGAAGGUACAAAUAACCUCAGAAGAAAAACAAAAAUGCAAACAGUUUAUACUCAUUUCCCAGUGUUCCUGUGUAACUGCUUCUGUCCAUCAUUGAUCAGUUGGAACUGAAUUAGAUCUCUUUGUCGAAGAGAUCCACUUCCAUCAGAAUACAUCCUCAUAUAGUAUUGUUGCUAAAGUAUAUAAUGAUCUCCUGGUUCUGCUCAUUUCACUCAGCAUCAGUUCAUGUAAAAGACCUUGAUUUUAAAAAAGGUCAUGCUUCCUGAAUAAAUAUUUUUCAUUCAUUCUUGGCUUUGAAGAAGAUAUUAAUAUAUAUAUAUAUAUACAUAUAUAUAGUUCUCUAGGUAUUCUAAGCAAUAGGGUUGAUUAUGAAUUAUGAAUUCAGCAUAAGCCAUAAUUUUUCACAGAUAAGGGUCACACAACUAGUAAGUAUCUCAGCCCAUAUUUGAACUCAAUGAAGAUAAAUUUUCCUGAUUCCAAACCUGUCAUUCCCUCUACUGUAUGCAGAAAACUCUUAGUUUACUAAGUAGAGAACAGCAGAGAACCUAGAACCUAGUAGGAAAGGUAUCAGAUCAUGUGUAAAAGGCAAAAUAAUAUUGAUUUAAUUUUAAUUUAAUUGAUUUAAUUUAAUUAAUAACAAAUGAUAUUGAUUUAAUAAUAAGGCUCUUUUUAUUUCUAUUGUGCUUUGAAGUUUUACAGAAAGAAUUUUCAGCAACAGUAUGUAAUUCAGUUUUCACAACUGUGAGGUUGGCAGUUGCCAUUUUGGAGACGAUGACACUAAAGAAUUGAAAGGAUAAUUUUUAUCAUUGUCACCAUGAAGCAAAGGGCAGAAUUUGGAUUUAGCAGAGAAGAGAGAAGGUAAGGAAACAAACAUCUAUAUAGCAUUUAUCAUGAGCCAGAAACCAUACAAAGCACUUUAAAAACAUCUAAUUUGUUCUUCACAACAACUUUGGGAAGUAAGUGCCAUUAUUAUAUUCAUUUUAAUAGUUGAGAAUACUAAGGCAGACAGUGAUUAAAUGAUUUGCCCAGGCUCAUACAAGUAGUAUUUGAGACUAGAUUUGAACUCAGGUUUUCCUGACUUCAGACCCAGUAUUUUAUCCACUGUGACACCUCGCUACAGUUUGUUGACUCACACCAAUGUUGAAAUCAUACAGUGUUGCCUCAGAAUGGUCUAAUAUUUUGGAAUCAAAUUGAUUUUUAAUGUAAAAUAUAUCUAAAACUUCUGAGAAAUUUGAUUCUAUAACUAAAGAUUUUGAAAUGAAAUUAUCAGAUUUGCACAAAACAUAGAAUGAAUCAUAAUAAUUAUGUUCAUAUAGUUCUUGAAAAUUUAUGCUCUCCACGUGUAAUCUCAGCUGAUGAUUAAUAUAAAAGUGUAGUUAGAACCUGAGGCAGAGUUUUAGAAACAUUAAAGACUAAAAUUCAUUUAUUCAUCCAUAUAUUAAUUCAACCAACAUUUAUUAAAGCUGCUGUAUGCAAGCUGACAUAUAAAGCCAAAAUGAAAAAAAAAAAAAAAAAAAAAAAAAAAAAAAAACCAGGAACUUGCAUUUCACUUGAGGGAAAUAGUAUUUAUAUAAAUUUAAUAAGUAUAUAUUCUGUAAAAGAAAUAUACAUUUCCCUCUCCAAUUUGAAUAUUAUAAUAUAUAUAUAAGCAAGUAUAUCAAAAUACAGAUAAAAUCCUAUGUAUUAAGGGGUCAAGAGGAAAAUAUUUAAAGUAAUAUUUACUGUAUACAACAUUUUUCCAACACUGUUUUUGGCAUCUAAUAAAUCAUUUCCUUAGAAAUAGGGCUUAAAAAUGAUUUCAAUUCAGAAGCUCAUCUGUUACAACACAGCUGAUUGAAUUUGCUUCCCAAUUGGCCUAUUUCCUAGGUCACUGUUCUUAUGUGUAUAUAACCCUUCUGUUCAUUGAUAUAUUAAUUUCCUGAAAAUAUUGUCAACCACGGCCUAUUAUCUUCCUCACUAAGAGGCCUUCUUUGUGGCAAGUAGAUGCCAGAGGUGAAAAGUACCUGCUAGGAAAAAUAAAGACUAAUCCAACUAUAAAACUUUUUCUAAUAUACAUACUGCUGCUGACCAGGUUCUAGUAUUCCUUAACCAAAAACAUUGCUCAUUACUAGAGGAUAUUUUUAUGUUCUUUAGUCAAUUAAUCAUAUCUGAUUAUUCAUGACCCCAUUUGGGAUUUUGUUAGUAAAGAUAUUGAAGCAAAUAAUAUUGAUUUAAUUUUAAUUUAAUUGAUUUAAUUUAAUUAAUAACAAAUAAUAUUGAUUUAAUAAUAAGGCUCUUUUUAUUUCUAUUGUGCUUUGAAGUUUUACAGAAAGAAUUUUCAGCAACAGUAUGUAAUUCAGUUUUCACAACUGUGAAAACUGUUUGCUAUUUCCUUUUUCUCAUUUGAAAAAUGAAUUGAAAACUGUGACAAAUAGGGGUUAAGUGAUUUGUCCAGGUUCACACAGCUAGUGUCUGAAGAUAGAUCUGAACCAGGUCCUUCUGACUCCAGGGCUUGUGCUUUAUCUAGCUGCCAGACAUUUUUAUACAAGCAAUUAAAACAUGUGUUGAUCCUCACCAGUCUUCUGGAAUGUAUAGUAAAAUAUUUGUUGGAUCCACAUAAUAUCAGGGAACUUUAGCUGAAAAACCACUAGAUUCCUUAUUUACAUUAUUGGAAAAAGGUUGGUGUUACCCAUCUUCCUGGUUGAUAGUCAGAGACAGUAACCUGCAGAAGUUAUUGGAAGUGGUGUACCCCAAAAGAAAUAAAAAAGGAAAACAGACCCACAUGUGCAAAAAGGUUUGUAGCAGCUCUUUUUGUGAUAGCAAAGAAUUGGAAAAUGUGUGGAUGCCCAUCAACUGGGGAAUGGCUGAAUACGUUAUAGUAUGUUAAAGUAAUGGAAUAUUAUUGUCAGGUUUCUUGAGGGCAGAAACUUUCAAUUUUGAAUCCUUGCUUAUCUUUACAUGGAAUUGUCUAGAGUAGAGGCAAUGAUUUCCUCUAUAUAUGAAAGCAAACCUGAGAACUCUAUCUCAUUAAAAUAUAGCAGAUGUGGAAAUAAUAAUAAUAAUUAAUAAUAAUAUAGCAUUCAUAUAGCUCUUUAAGGUUUGCAAAGUAGAUUGAGAGCUAAAAGAAGCAUAAAGGUCAUUUAGUUUAGUUGAACAAUCUGUUGUAUUUGAGAAAACUGUUCAUGACCCCAUUUGGGGUUUUCUUAGCAAAAAUAAGUGGCCAUUUCCUUCUUCAGCUCACUUUAUAGAUGAGGAAACAGGUCUACCGGAGUUAAGUGACUUAUCCAGAAUCAGUAAGUGUCUGUUUUGAACUCCAGUACUCCUGAGUUCUUAGGCCAGAGCUGUGUCUGCUGUUUCACCUAGCUAUCUUAUUAAGCAAAAGUACUGAUCUGCAAUUGGUCAAUCAGUCAACAAACAUUUAUUAUCAAUAAAUGAUAAUAGGUAGCAUGUAUGUAGAGCUUUAAAGUUUUGGGAAGGGAAAUAUAUUUGGUAUAAUUUCAUUUGUAUAAUGGUUAUUGUAUCUUCAAUCCAACCUAAUGAAUAGUAAAGUACUUAUGAAUGAGGCACAGUACUAAGCCCUGGAGAUACAAUUAUACAAAAUGAAAGAUCCUACUGUCAAGGAGUUUACAAUCUAAUGAGAAGCUAACACAGAGUAAAAAAAAAAGAGGAAAGAAGGGAGGAUAUUAGGAAGAAGGGACACCACGGGGACACCACGGGACAUCCUUCAUGGAGGCAUCUUAUUCUUUGGAGUUGAAACCAGUCAGAAUAACAAAUUCAGUGUAGUAUAAUUUCUGCCUCUAUAAAGGAAGACAUUAUCUUCUCACUGGGUAGGAAAAAAUGGGAGAGGAAGGAAGGGAAAGAAUUUGGAACUGAAGCUAGGUGCCUAGUAAAGGGUGAAGUUCCUCACCAGAAAUUCCCUACACUUAUAACCUUGAACAGGUCUGAUUAAAAAAAAAUGUUGCAGAUAGUAUACUAGACACUGGAGAGUACAAAUGUUUAAGCAAAGUAACCUCUGCCCUCAAGGAGCUUACAUUCUAAUAGGAAGCUCUAACACAUAAAGAAGAGCAGAGACCUGGAAAGAGUCUGGAUCUCCAAGGAGUUAGAGCACUUGGUCAAACCAUUUGUACUUGAAAUGGUGAUAUUAAUCUGAUAGUUUCUAGUAUUAAGUUUGAAUAGUUGAAUAGUGAAUAGCCAAAAGAGGAAAGUUGUAGAAAUUACAGAAGAGCAGGAGAUAUCUGAUAGAUUAGUCAAGUCCUUGGGUGAGAAGAUCUGGAGGCCAUAAAGGCUAGAGAAACAGAAUUAAGAAUUCAGAUGGGAGGGGGCCUACUGCUCCAAAAAUCAGUUAUACUCAUUUCAUCACUGUUUCUUCUCAAUCACUCCAACUGUUGUCAGGGGAGUAGAAGGGGAAGCAGAGGACAUAAAAGCUAUAUCAAACAGCAACGUUCAAUGGCAAUGUGGAAAAUGGCCAGAUGUUUUAUAGGGGCAGGUGUGUCUCAUUUCCCUUAUCUAAUGGCAAAGGCAAGGAGGUUAACCAAGAGGUUAAGGCAAUCUUAAUACAGUUAUAAUAUAGGGCAGGAAGCAAAUAUAACAAGCAGGAUAAAUCCUCUUCAUUCAAGCCUACACUAUUAAAAGAUUUCUUGGGGUAUUUUUUUCUCAUGAGUUGAAGAAACCAAGGUAUAAAACUGGAAAAUAUUUUUAUAAAAGACAAUUAUUCUGUUUCUAACAUUUUUACAUUGCUCUAUGAUUGAAGAAAUGGAAUUUAAAAAAAAAAGGCUUCUGAUUUAACACAUACAUUGCUUCCUGGAGGAGGACACCAUCUCACUGCCAAUCUGGGACUUCAGCUUGUUCAGCAAGCAGCAUCUUUCACAGAGAAACUUCUUACCAGUCCUCUACUUAGGAGUCACUUGUCUCAUUUGCUCAAAGCUGCUGGAGAUUCCCAGAUAUAAUUUGUUGAUCCCAGUUACCCUCAAUUUUGUUGUAAUAUUAAGGAAUGUUUAGGGUAAAGGUAGACAUUUCCUAUUGAGUGGAUGUCCAUCAACUGAAUAAAUUGUGCUAUGUGAAUAUAAUGGAAUAUUAUUGUUCUAUAAAAAAUGAUAAGCAGGCUGAUUUCAUAAAAGCCUAGAAAGAAGUGAUAUGAGCAGAACCAAGAGAACAUUGUACUCAGUAACAAUAUGAUUAUGUGAUGAUCAAUUGUGAUGGAUGUGGCUCUUUUCAACAAUGAGGUGAUUCAAGACAGUUCCAACAGACUUGUGAUGGAAGUGCCAUCUACAUCAGAGAAUUAUGGACAUUGAAUACUUUCACUUUUGUUGUUGUUUGCUUGUUUUUUCUCGUGUUUUUUCCCCUUUUGAUCUUAUUUUUCUUGCCCAUCAUGGCAAUAUGGAAUAUGGACAUAUGUUUAAAAGAAUUGCACAUGUUUAACCUGUGUAGGAUUAUUUUUUGUCUUGAAGAAGAGGAAGGAAGGAGAAAAGAUUGGAACACAAGGUUUUACAAAGGUGAAUAUUGAAAACUAACUUUGAAUGUAUUUGUAAAGAUAAAAUACUACUUAAAAAAAGAAAAUAAGAGAUUUUCUUUAAUAUAAACUUACAUUACCUUGGUUCUCAGGUUAAAGGACUUUGGUUCAAAUCUCCCACUUAUUUUAAAAAGAGAAAGGAAGAUAUUUUUGUGUGCUCUCUGAGUCCAAACUUGGCCAGUAAAGUCAUCUUGACCAACCCCUUAAUUUUACAGAUGAAGCCUUGGAGAAGUGUUAAUUUUCCAUCGGUUGCUCCAAUGGGACUCCAUAAACAACACAACUACUGAUGAUAAAGUCAUCACCUGAAAUCUCAUCAGCAGGAAGGCUGAUCCAGUUUUAAUAUUCAAUACUUUCUCAGUACCCUCAGCUGCCUUUUCCUUCUAACUAAAGGGCUGGAGGAUAGAGCAAUAAAUUGCCAAAGCUUUCCCUAUUAUAGAGAACCCAAGAAUUUCCAGAUAACUUCAUUUUCCAUCAACAGUUCUGCUUGGUUUCCUUUCCAUAAAUCCCAUACUCCUAUACUACAGUAUCCUGUACCAAAAUACUUCUGCUGUUCUUCUGCUUUCUCCCUUUUGUGUAUUGUCUUUCCUAUUAAAUUGCAAACUUCUUAAGGGAAGGUAUCUGUUUUUUUUCUUUGUAUCCUUAGCCAGUGGCUAGCAUCUAGUAGAGAAUAUAUAUUGAUUGUCAAUUUUACUAUUAAAGCCUAAGGUUACACAGAUAGUGCAAAGAUUGCAUUUUUGUGUAAAGGAUUGUAUUAAUAUAGCAUUUAUUUUUGGAUUUUGAUAUUACUGUUUUUUUAUUUACUUUGAUGUUAUCAUUGUGUAUUCUGUUUGGUUGAUAUCAGUUAAUAGAAACUUCCCAAGGCAUUUCUUCUGCUACUGAAUUUUCAUUUCUUAAAGCACAUUAAAUAAAUAUACCCACAUUUAUUUAGUCAUUCCCUAAUCAAAGAACAGCUACUUUUGUUCUCAAUUAUUGGCUAUCAAAAAAAGUGUUGAUAUGAGUAUUUGGGACUAUAUAGGAUCUUUCUAGAAAGAAACUCUUUGACUUCAUAUGUCUAGGAGUAGGAACUGUAAGUCAAAGUGUAAGACAUUUUAGCCACUUUUUUGCACACUACUAAUUAAUUGCCCCUCCAACAUUAACUGUUCCCAAUUUUUUUUUAUCUUUACCAAUUUGUUGAGAGGUG
Molecule: long non-coding RNA, 6995 nt
Filed under: Sarcophilus harrisii (Tasmanian devil)
Lineage: Eukaryota; Metazoa; Chordata; Mammalia; Dasyuromorphia; Dasyuridae
Description: lncRNA (ENSSHAG00000031399.1)
Source: RNAcentral